This 483-nucleotide ribosomal RNA is filed under the name uncultured bacterium. RNAcentral describes it as "partial 16S ribosomal RNA". It matches the Rfam family "Bacterial small subunit ribosomal RNA", at positions 28 to 507 of the family's 1533-position model. The record is from RNAcentral.
GACGAACGCUGGCGGCGUGCUUAACACAUGCAAGUCGAACGCUGAAGCUCAGCUUUUGUUGGGUGGAUGAGUGGCGAACGGGUGAGUAACACGUGAGUAAACUGCCUCCUUCUUUGGGAUAACGCCCGGAAACGGGUGCUAAUACUGGAUAUUCACUGGUCUUCGCAUGGGGGUUGGUGGAAAGGGUUUUUCUGGUGGGGGAUGGGCUCGCGGCCUAUCAGCUUGUUGGUGGGGUGAUGGCCUACCAAGGCUUUGACGGGUAGCCGGCCUGAGAGGGUGACCGGUCACAUUGGGACUGAGAUACGGCCCAGACUCCUACGGGAGGCAGCAGUGGGGAAUAUUGCACAAUGGGCGCAAGCCUGAUGCAGCGACGCCGCGUGAGGGAUGGAGGCCUUCGGGUUGUGAACCUCUUUCGCUCAUGGUCAAGCCGCAACAAUGGUUGUGGUGAGGGUAGUGGGUAAAGAAGCGCCGGCUAACUACGUG